AGGGGAGUAGCUCAAUUGGUAGAGUAGUGGUCUCCAAAACCAUUGGUUGCAGGUUCGAGUCCUGUCUCCCCUGCCA
RNAcentral lists this transfer RNA (76 nucleotides) under Anaerobranca californiensis DSM 14826. RNAcentral describes it as "tRNA_Trp_CCA". It matches the Rfam family "tRNA". From Rfam's summary of the family: Transfer RNA (tRNA) molecules are approximately 80 nucleotides in length. The record is from RNAcentral. Lineage: Bacteria; Bacillati; Bacillota; Clostridia; Eubacteriales; Proteinivoracaceae.